RNAcentral lists this long non-coding RNA (1003 nucleotides) under Ananas comosus (pineapple). RNAcentral's name for it is "long non-coding RNA (ACOM_LNC018657)". The record is from RNAcentral. Lineage: Eukaryota; Viridiplantae; Streptophyta; Magnoliopsida; Poales; Bromeliaceae.
UUUACUUGAGAGUUUAAAUUGUUUUCAAAAUGUCAAGUAUGACCAAAUGUCUAGAGACCGGGACGAAGCCAGAAAUUAAAAUUCGGGGAGGGAGGGGGGACAAAAUUUAGAUUUGAUAGAAAAAAAAUUCGACCUCGGAUAAUAAGAAAAAAAUUCGUCAAAUUUACUGAUAACGACAAUAUGCUCAAAAAAGAGCAAGCCUGUAAGGGUUGAAGGGAAAAGGACCAAAAAAUUCAAAAUAAAUUUGAGACACAAAUUUUGUUAAAAAAAUUAAUUUAGCCCCCCUAAAAUUAAAAUUUAUAAUAUUUUAAUUUUUAUUAUAAAGGACUUUUAUAUAAUUUUAAAAAAUUUAAGGAGGGCCCAUGGUCACUGUGGGCCCCUCAAUAGCUCCAUCCCCCUCUAGAGAGAAAUACUUUAUUCGGCCUUUAAAAUAAAUUUUAUAAAUAAAAUAAAUUACCUCAUAAAUAAAAUAUAUUAUUCUACUAAGUUGUAUUUGCCAGGAUCUUUCAAGUGGGAAUCAAAAUUCUAGAUUAAAAUCACAAAAUAAAAAAAUAGAGCAUAAAUUUUACCCAAUAUCUUAUUUUAAUAUCCAAGACAUUAUUUUAAUAUCUCAAUAAAAUAUUUCUAUAUUCCUGCCUAUAAACUUAUGCAUGUACCUCAUUUUAAAGCUAUUAACUUUCUAUUAGACGAGACCGACCGUUCCUCGAGCAAAUGGCAAAGGGUUUGGUGGUUGAUACCUGAGACCCAAGUUCGAAUAGUUGAUUCACAUUUCUAGCUAAGUUUAUUUCUAAAUGAAAUAAAUAAAGCGGGUAGCGUACUAUCUAUCUCUAAAAAAAAAAACUUUCUAUUAGACGAGCAUUGUUGAAAAACAAAAAAAAAAAAUAUCUUAACUUAAAUUUAACUGGAAGUCAUUUUCAAUUUGAAAAUUAUUUAUGAGCAAAUAAACAGAUAUCUAUGUGAUGGUAAAAUUAAUUACAAGAGAAAAAAAAAUUAAAAAAUAAUA